UCUACCCAAAUCCUAACCUGAACUAAACAACACUCACCCACACCCCAACAUCACAGCCACACUCCCCCAAAUUUCCAAAAACCCUAGCUGCUACCCUUACCUCCUUCAGAAACUUAACGCACACACAACACACACACAACAGCAGGAAAACAAAAAAAUGAAAGAAGAAAGAAAGAAGAAAGGAAAGAGGGAAGGGACCGAGGAAUGAAGGAGAGGGGGAGAAGGGAAGGCGACGUGGUGGGCAUCACUACCACCGUCGCCGCCACUGCUGACAGAGAAGAGAGGGAGAGCCCAGGGGAGGAGGAGCUCAGUGCCGCCACUGCAUCCUGCUGUCCGCACCGUCACCGUCGCGUAACCUGUACCGUCGCCACCGUCCGUCAUGGCGCACCAUGCCACGUCACUGUCGAGAAUAGAGCUGCAGGGAGAGAAGGCUCGCGAGUGAGCGAGAAGGUUGCAAGACUGGAGACCGCCACACCCAGUCACAUCCAUGAAGCCAUCGCCGCCUAGCCCGACCCGUCGCCAAACCGCGUCGCCGUCCGUGAAGCUGUCUCCGUCACCACUGUCGGAGGUUGCUGUUGGAGCUGCUGCUCCAGUUCCGUCGUUCUUCUUUUUCACAGGUUAAUUUUAUGGGUUUGCAUGUCGAAAUUGAGGUUGUUGCUGAACCACCGGAGCUUCUGACUACUGUCGGAGCUACUGCCGAAUAAGUUUAGAGUGGCUACUAUACCGUUCUUUUAUUCCAGUAAGUGUCUAUAUCUCGGAAUCCUCGCCAUUACUAUUCUGUUAUGUGUUUUAAGGUUUUUGCGAUAUUAAUUUUUUUUUAGGAUUUAGUAAUUGAGGUUGCAUGUUGUAAUUAAGGUUGUUUUUGCUAUUGAAAAAGCAUUCGGAACUGAGAUUUUGGUUGCCGUUGACUUCGGGUUGAGAGAAAAGAGUUCAGUUGAUGCGUUUGGGUUAUGGUUUUGACUUGUCGAGGUAGAGACUUUUUCUAAAAACUUACUUUUGUGAUUGAAAUUGUUAUAAAUUGAUGUUGAUGUGCAAAAUGUAAUUUUGGUGAUUAUUCAAGCCUUAUGAAUUGUCUGAUUUAUCUUGGAUAAAUAUGGUUGUUGAUUGAUUUAAUUAUUGACUGAUUUUGUUAAAGUGGAGGUUGCUGAAAUUGGUUUGAUUUUUGAAAUAAUUUUUAUAUUGGAAAGACUGAAUUCUGUUUAUUUGGAAACUGAUUUGGUUUUGAAUCCGUUGAAAAGGGUUGCGGAAUGGUUUGGUUGGGACCCAGAAAGGGUGGCAAAGUCCAAGGUUUAGGAGAGGUACUGCCGAAAUUUCUAUAAAAUUUGAGACUUCAUUUGAAAUAUUUUGAAAUUUAUGAAUUUUAGACUUAUAUUAUUUUAUUUGAAUUAUUUAAGUAAGUGGUGAAUUAUGUUUUGAAUUGAAUUAUUGAAAAGAGAACUAUGAUUAAGCUUUGUUUCUUAAGAAAAUACUUAUGUUUUGAGGCUAUUUUAAAUGUGAGAAGGGUUUAUAUUUUUGAAUUUGACUUAAGAAUUUCAUUCGGAGGAGUUUUAGUGAAUUUAAAAGAAAAUGGACUUUGAUCAAAUGACCCCGUUUGCAACGUUUUGGAAAAGUUAAGGAAUUGGUUUUAAGGAAUGAAAUUGAAAAUUAUUUUUGGUUCAAACAGAUUGGCUUUUUAGUUCUAAAUGAUUUGGUUUUUAUUUGGAUUUCACUUGAUUAACUCAAACCAAGAAAACAUGAUUUUUGAGAAUUUUAAUGAACUUAAGGAAAGGGAUUUGGUUGUUCUUCUUAAAGUCUUGAGACUUUGUCAAAAGAGUCGAUUCAUAACUCCGAUUUAAAGUAGUUAAACGGAUGAUUUGAAGGUGAAGACUUUUGAAUCUUUUCAAAGAAAAUUACACUUGAUAUGAUCUUGGAAUUAUUUGGAAGUUUUGAGAAAAUGUUACAUAGAGUGGCUCCGUUUUAAAAGGAAAUUGAUCUUGAGGAAAAAGUGGCUUAUGAGCCUUAAAUAAUUUGAGAUAUGAGGAUUUUGAAAAUUUAGACAAAGCUGAGUUUGAUUUUGGUUUCAAAAUAAAGUGAUUUGAGGAAAAGUAACAUAUGACAUGAAUGAUGAUUGACUUGAUAUGAAUUGUUGAGGAAGUGCUUAUACACUGCAUGUGUGUGAUGAUAAAUGGCUAUAAUGAGAUUAAAUGAAUCGAAUAUGAAUGAUUAUAUGAGUAUGCACUUCUUUAUUUGAGAUACGAGUUUUCUUGGAUAGAUGCAGUGGCUUGCCACCAUGUGCUUCAGGUUGAGACUCGAUACUCUGUUGAUCCUACGUCGCAAGAUGUGGACGGACACUUUAACUCCACGAGAGUUCCCCCAAUGAGUAGAAUUUGUUUAUGAUUUGAGAAAAAGCUAUGCAUAGACUCUUGGGGAUGCGCACACAUGGGAUUUUCCAGGGUUUAGCAGCUGGACAUGUCGGGUUGGCUUUAUAACCAAAAGAUGAGACUCAUCAGCCAUAGGACAGGCAUUCAUUAUAUGUAUCUAUGUGACAUUGUUUGGGCAUGCAUAUUGUUAUUGGUUUGCCUAUGUGAAUAAUUAUGUUUAAUUGUUAAUUGCUCUAUUUGAGGUAA
Molecule: long non-coding RNA, 2606 nt
Organism: Arachis duranensis
Lineage: Eukaryota; Viridiplantae; Streptophyta; Magnoliopsida; Fabales; Fabaceae
Exons: 2
Source: RefSeq, a predicted model, not a curated record